CCAACCCUAGCCUUCAGUCUUCGGUCCUCACUCUUCAGUUCAAUCAGACACCACUCUCGAGCCUCCACCCUACAGCCCUCCACUCUCGCCUCUCGCACUCAGUGGCCACGCAUGCAGUCUCUACCUCGAGCCACCGCCGCCGUCGCAACACCUCCAUCGAAGUCACUCACCGUCGCAAGUUCGUGGAGCCGGCUUGGAGAUUCGCGCAGCCCUUUACGUCGAAGUCAGCCGUAGAAAUCGCAGCCACCGCCACCACUCCUUGCCGUCGCGCACUGUCGUCCUGAGUGACCUGAAGCCCUUGCCCCUGUCUCGAGCCCCAUUCCUGAUUCCUCAGUCUCAUACAUACUCUCAUUAUUUCUCCCCAAAACACAACCCUAGCCUCCAUCGCGCCCCCGUUGGUCGCACUGUUGCCGCCUGGUUCGUCGUGAUCGUUCUUCAAUCCUCCUAUUUCGUGGUGCUCGAAGGCCCUUCCAUUCCCCCAAUGCCAAUCCUCCUACUGAUUGAUGAUAAAUUGAUACUGCAAAAACGAACAACAAGGGGAAGAAUGAACUUUUGUGGUACUGGUAUGAACGUCUUCUGUGGGAUUGAAGCCUGAGAUCAGGAUCUCUUUUAUUUGCCUCUGAGUUCUUAAAAUUGAAGUGUGAGCGGAGGAGGGAGUGUUCCAGCACCAAAAGCAUCUCCUGAGACUUAACAAGGAUUGUUAUGAUGUUCUUAUAGGUGAAUAAAAAUGUUGCUGCUUUGACAACUAAAGCUAAGGUCAGAAAGUUGUCAGUUUUAAAAAGGGCUGAAAAAUCAUUGAGGAAAGAGGAUUUAUAAUGUUAGGUGGUCGCACCAAAGACAAAGGUUAUGGCCAGGAUUCAUUGACAAAAAAGCAUUCACUUUCGUCUUCAUUUAAUAGCAAGUCAGGUUCAUUUUUCCCAGGGCAGAAACAUUGGUAGCCCUGAGCGGCAAGAGAGUAAUAAGGACCGCUAGAUAUCUGACGUCUUCAACUGAUAUCACAGAUUAGCACAUUGGAAUCCACUAGAUAUCACAGAUUUGGUGGAACAAAAUCCCCAUUAUCUUGGAGAGCAGAAAAAUCCUUCAUCAUUAGCUUUGUGUCCAGCAACUAAGAACUGCAUAUCAACAUAUGAGAAUAUCACUCAUACCAUUCAUUAUGCUCCAACUUGGUUUAUUCUGAUGCACUGGAUGGAAAUGAACCAUUGGCUUUGGACAUGGGAAGCAUGGGGAAGGGUCAGGUUGUUGAUAAGCGUUAUUAGCAGAAAAAUACAUAUAGCAAGAUGUGUCAACAAGUAUUUCUGUUAAGCUAAGCAGGGCUCAUCUUUCUGAGUGAAAAGCUGCAUGGAAUGCAAAGAUAAUAUCCUAGUCCCAUCGUUAUUAGAAGCACUAGAAAUUAAAUUUAGGACUAACAAGUAGAUUAUGGAUUGUUACUAUUCCGUGAAGAAAUUUUCUGCUAACAAUUUCAUCUUGGUGAUUCUAUUUUUUGAAAAGCUUUCAAGCUUAAUGGACCAUCAAAAUUUUUCUAUUUGGUGUUUGUGCACUUUGCACUUUAAGCGGAUUACUAAGUUACUUAAAGAUCAUAUUAGAAAUUUAGUCCCUAAAAAAUAUACUUGACAUGAGAUU
Arachis ipaensis is the source of this 1620-nucleotide non-coding RNA. The record is from RefSeq and is a predicted model, not a curated record. NCBI's taxonomy places the organism in Eukaryota, Viridiplantae, Streptophyta, Magnoliopsida, Fabales, Fabaceae.